UAAGCCGCCAUGGAUAUACAAUUUGUUC
Molecule: non-coding RNA, 28 nt
Filed under: Mus musculus (house mouse)
Lineage: Eukaryota; Metazoa; Chordata; Mammalia; Rodentia; Muridae
Source: RNAcentral